Molecule: transfer RNA, 84 nt
Filed under: Elusimicrobiota bacterium
Lineage: Bacteria; Pseudomonadati; Elusimicrobiota
Description: Elusimicrobia bacterium (groundwater metagenome) tRNA-Leu
Rfam family: tRNA
About the family: Transfer RNA (tRNA) molecules are approximately 80 nucleotides in length. Their secondary structure includes four short double-helical elements and three loops (D, anti-codon, and T loops).
Source: RNAcentral
GGGCAGGUGGCGAAACUGGCAGACGCUGGAGACUUAAAAUCUCCCGGCCGCAAGGUCAUGCGGGUUCGAGUCCCGCCCUGCCCA